Molecule: ribosomal RNA, 490 nt
Filed under: uncultured bacterium
Lineage: Bacteria
Description: partial 16S ribosomal RNA
Rfam family: Bacterial small subunit ribosomal RNA
Source: RNAcentral
AUUGAACGCUGGCGGCAGGCCUAACACAUGCAAGUCGAAUGGUAACAGGAAACAGCUUGCUGUUUCGCUGACGAGUGGCGGACGGGUGAGUAUUGUCUGGGAAACUGCCUGAUGGAGGGGGAUAACUACUGGAAACGGUAGCUAAUACCGCAUAACGUCGCAAGACCAAAGAGGGGGACCUUCGGGCCUCUUGCCAUCAGAUGUGCCCAGAUGGGAUUAGCUAGUAGGUGGGGUAACGGCUCACCUAGGCGACGAUCCCUAGCUGGUCUGAGAGGAUGACCAGCCACACUGGAACUGAGACACGGUCCAGACUCCUACGGGAGGCAGCAGUGGGGAAUAUUGCACAAUGGGCGCAAGCCUGAUGCAGCCAUGCCGCGUGUAUGAAGAAGGCCUUCGGGUUGUAAAGUACUUUCAGCGGGGAGGAAGGGAGUAAAGUUAAUACCUUUGCUCAUUGACGUUACCCGCAGAAGAAGCACCGGCUAACUCCGUG